RNAcentral lists this ribosomal RNA (252 nucleotides) under uncultured bacterium. RNAcentral describes it as "partial 16S ribosomal RNA". It matches the Rfam family "Bacterial small subunit ribosomal RNA", at positions 524 to 776 of the family's 1533-position model. The record is from RNAcentral.
UACGUAGGUCCCGAGCGUUGUCCGGAUUUAUUGGGCGUAAAGCGAGCGCAGGUGGUUUAUUAAGUCUGGUGUAAAAGGCAGUGGCUCAACCAUUGUGUGCAUUGGAAACUGGUAGACUUGAGUGCAGGAGAGGAGAGUGGAAUUCCAUGUGUAGCGGUGAAAUGCGUAGAUAUAUGGAGGAACACCGGUGGCGAAAGCGGCUCUCUGGCCUGUAACUGACACUGAGCCUCGAAAGCGUGGGGAGCAAACAGG